RNAcentral lists this ribosomal RNA (542 nucleotides) under Cladosporium sp. RNAcentral's name for it is "eukaryotic LSU rRNA". The stretch from base 186 to 339 matches the Rfam family "5.8S ribosomal RNA". Lineage: Eukaryota; Fungi; Ascomycota; Dothideomycetes; Cladosporiales; Cladosporiaceae. The record is from RNAcentral.
GUAGGGGUGAACCUGCGGAGGGAUCAUUACAAGUGACCCCGGUCUAACCACCGGGAUGUUCAUAACCCUUUGUUGUCCGACUCUGUUGCCUCCGGGGCGACCCUGCCUUCGGGCGGGGGCUCCGGGUGGACACUUCAAACUCUUGCGUAACUUUGCAGUCUGAGUAAACUUAAUUAAUAAAUUAAAACUUUUAACAACGGAUCUCUUGGUUCUGGCAUCGAUGAAGAACGCAGCGAAAUGCGAUAAGUAAUGUGAAUUGCAGAAUUCAGUGAAUCAUCGAAUCUUUGAACGCACAUUGCGCCCCCUGGUAUUCCGGGGGGCAUGCCUGUUCGAGCGUCAUUUCACCACUCAAGCCUCGCUUGGUAUUGGGCAACGCGGUCCGCCGCGUGCCUCAAAUCGACCGGCUGGGUCUUCUGUCCCCUAAGCGUUGUGGAAACUAUUCGCUAAAGGGUGCUCGGGAGGCUACGCCGUAAAACAAACCCAUUUCUAAGGUUGACCUCGGAUCAGGUAGGGAUACCCGCUGAACUUAAGCAUAUCAUAAG